GACGAACGCUGGCGGCGUGCCUAAUACAUGCAAGUCGAACGCUGAAGGAGGAGCUUGCUUCUCUGGAUGAGUUGCGAACGGGUGAGUAACGCGUAGGUAACCUGCCUGGUAGCGGGGGAUAACUAUUGGAAACGAUAGCUAAUACCGCAUAAUAGUAGAUGUUGCAUGACAUUUGCUUAAAAGGUGCAAUUGCAUCACUACCAGAUGGACCUGCGUUGUAUUAGCUAGUUGGUGAGGUAACGGCUCACCAAGGCGACGAUACAUAGCCGACCUGAGAGGGUGAUCGGCCACACUGGUACUGAGACACGGCCCAGACUCCUACGGGAGGCAGCAGUAGGGAAUCUUCGGCAAUGGACGGAAGUCUGACCGAGCAACGCCGCGUGAGUGAAGAAGGUUUUCGGAUCGUAAAGCUCUGUUGUAAGAGAAGAACGAGUGUGAGAGUGGAAAGUUCACACUGUGACGGUAUCUUACCAGAAAGGGACGGCUAACUACGUG
This 495-nucleotide ribosomal RNA is filed under the name uncultured bacterium. Its description in RNAcentral is "partial 16S ribosomal RNA". It matches the Rfam family "Bacterial small subunit ribosomal RNA", at positions 28 to 507 of the family's 1533-position model. The record is from RNAcentral.